AUUGAACGCUGGCGGCAGGCCUAACACAUGCAAGUCGAGCGGAUGAAGGGAGCUUGCUCCUGGAUUCAGCGGCGGACGGGUGAGUAAUGCCUAGGAAUCUGCCUGGUAGUGGGGGAUAACGUCCGGAAACGGGCGCUAAUACCGCAUACGUCCUGAGGGAGAAAGUGGGGGAUCUUCGGACCUCACGCUAUCAGAUGAGCCUAGGUCGGAUUAGCUAGUUGGUGGGGUAAAGGCCUACCAAGGCGACGAUCCGUAACUGGUCUGAGAGGAUGAUCAGUCACACUGGAACUGAGACACGGUCCAGACUCCUACGGGAGGCAGCAGUGGGGAAUAUUGGACAAUGGGCGAAAGCCUGAUCCAGCCAUGCCGCGUGUGUGAAGAAGGUCUUCGGAUUGUAAAGCACUUUAAGUUGGGAGGAAGGGCAGUAAGUUAAUACCUUGCUGUUUUGACGUUACCAAAAGAAUAAGCACCGGCUAACUUCGU
Molecule: ribosomal RNA, 483 nt
Filed under: uncultured bacterium
Lineage: Bacteria
Description: partial 16S ribosomal RNA
Rfam family: Bacterial small subunit ribosomal RNA
Source: RNAcentral